RNAcentral lists this long non-coding RNA (494 nucleotides) under Homo sapiens (human). RNAcentral describes it as "non-protein coding DDX11-AS1:3". The record is from RNAcentral. Lineage: Eukaryota; Metazoa; Chordata; Mammalia; Primates; Hominidae.
GUGCACCCCAGCGGCUCCUCCACACGGAGAGAUGGUGUCAGUCAAAGGCCGUCUAGAUGACGAGUUUAUGAAAUUGUUCCUGGCCCGUGCCGGGCACGACCUUGCAGAGAGCCCAGAAGAUGAAACCCCAGCCCUGCCAGGAGCUCACCUGCUAAUUAGGAGGACAACGAAUCACCUCACCUCCCUAGACUUUGCUUCUCCUUUAUUCAGUGAGGGAUUGGACUAGCUGGUCCUUGAGGACUUUUCAGAAAGUCUGGUUCUGGGAGAUGACCAAUGGGAUCAUCUUAUGCUAUGAGCUUUCCUGGAAUGACAGGUAAUGGAGAGUGAGGAGAUUUUACCUGAUAUGGUCCUGUUUGCACCAUCAGCCAGCAACCUUUCUGGGAAGCGUGCUUAUUAUGUACCAACAUAAAAGCUUGAAUAUAAGGUAUGCAGUCCCAAUUUCCUGAUCUCAGAUUGAAAUGUUCAAGCUGUAUAACAUUAAAUUCAAAGAACCA